GUGACUGUACCCACCACUGGCUCUCUACUGCCACUCAUCUUGGGGCUGCUGAUCCAGGCUGUAGCAGUGAGCACCGUCACGCGCCCCUACAAGGGCCUAGAUUCUCAACUAGACAGAACAUGUGCCCACCAAGGUGGGAAUCCUGCAUGAUGUUGGAGUCACUCUUGGUCAUCUCCCUGUUCCCAGUUUGGUGAUAAUAUCUCAGAUAUUAUCAACUAAAUCUGUGAAAAGAAGGGAAGGAAAGGCGGAGAUGCAAACCUGAGCAGAGGGGAGUCAUCUGUCAUCUGAGUUCCCAUGGUAAGAAUGAUUGCAGAGCAAAGAUGACCAAUUGCCCGAAGAGCAUCAAAAGCAACAGCAGUAGUAAAAUCCAUUUCAGUCCAGAAAAGUACUGGCUCAGUGAACGCUCACGUGAUUUUGUUAUGUGGCUUGGAUAAAUGGAAAUACAGUGACAUUGUCAACUGAAAUAUUGAGUUUUGAAGGUUGAGAAAUCCAAGAUUGAUGAGCUGCAUCUUAAUGAGGAUCUUCUUGCUGCAUUGUAGCAUAGCAGAAGACUUUGGAGAAAAAUCAGAAAACACAGCAAAGGAGAAGAAGGCCAAUCCCCCAUCAGUUACAACCACUCACUCCAAUGACAACUAACUUACUCCCAUGAUUAAGACUUUAGUCUAUUUAAAAGGGUGAUGGUCCCAGGACCUAAUUAUCUCUUUAAGUUCCUAUUUCUUAAUGUUUUUAUGAUGGCAGUUAAAUUGCAACUUGGUUUUAGGUGGACAUUCAAAACAAAGCAAUGGUGAAUUAGAUA
Molecule: non-coding RNA, 796 nt
Organism: Ictidomys tridecemlineatus (thirteen-lined ground squirrel)
Lineage: Eukaryota; Metazoa; Chordata; Mammalia; Rodentia; Sciuridae
Source: RefSeq, a predicted model, not a curated record